CCCGCAGGUCUCAGCCGCGGCCGCGAGUGCGCGAAGCAAUUAGAUGGGAAUAACCCGAGUCCUCAAAAAGCCGCGAAGAAAACUCACCAGCUCCAGAGACGGUUCAGAAACAAAGUGUAUUUUGCAGGGAGGGUGAAGUCUGGAAAUAGUUGU
Molecule: non-coding RNA, 153 nt
Organism: Myotis brandtii (Brandt's bat)
Lineage: Eukaryota; Metazoa; Chordata; Mammalia; Chiroptera; Vespertilionidae
Source: Rfam